This 164-nucleotide non-coding RNA is filed under the name Drosophila virilis. RNAcentral describes it as "Eukaryotic large subunit ribosomal RNA". It matches the Rfam family "Eukaryotic large subunit ribosomal RNA", at positions 1 to 160 of the family's 3401-position model. The record is from Rfam by way of RNAcentral. Lineage: Eukaryota; Metazoa; Arthropoda; Insecta; Diptera; Drosophilidae.
CAACCUCAACUCAUAUGGGACUACCCCCUGAAUUUAAGCAUAUUAAUUAGGGGAGGAAAAGAAACUAACAAGGAUUUUCUUAGUAGCGGCGAGCGAAAAGAAAUCAGUUCAGCACUAAGUCACUUUGUCUAUAUGGCAAAUGUGAGAUGCAGUGUACGGAACAU